UCCGGAGGGUGCAAGCGUUAUCCGGAUUUACUGGGUUUAAAGGGUGUGUAGGCGGGCUUUUAAGUCAGUGGUGAAAUCUCCGGGCUCAACCUGGAAACUGCCAUUGAUACUAUUAGUCUUGAAUAUUGUUGAGGUAGGCGGAAUAAGUCAUGUAGCGGUGAAAUGCAUAGAUAUGACUUAGAACACCAAUUGCGAAGGCAGCUUGCUAAACAAUGAUUGACGCUGAGGCACGAAAGCGUGGGGAUCAAACAGG
RNAcentral lists this ribosomal RNA (253 nucleotides) under uncultured bacterium. Its description in RNAcentral is "partial 16S ribosomal RNA". It matches the Rfam family "Bacterial small subunit ribosomal RNA", at positions 524 to 776 of the family's 1533-position model. The record is from RNAcentral.